Molecule: ribosomal RNA, 429 nt
Filed under: Chloroflexota bacterium
Lineage: Bacteria; Bacillati; Chloroflexota
Description: Chloroflexi bacterium partial 16S ribosomal RNA
Rfam family: Bacterial small subunit ribosomal RNA
Source: RNAcentral
UGGGGAAUAUUGCACAAUGGGCGCAAGCCUGCUGCAGCCAUGCCGCGUGUGUGAAGAAGGCCUUCGGGUUGUAAAGCACUUUCAGCGGGGAGGAAGGCGAUAAGGUUAAUAACCUUGUCGAUUGACGUUACCCGCAGAAGAAGCACCGGCUAACUCCGUGCCAGCAGCCGCGGUAAUACGGAGGGUGCAAGCGUUAAUCGGAAUUACUGGGCGUAAAGCGCACGCAGGCGGUCUGUCAAGUCGGAUGUGAAAUCCCCGGGCUCAACCUGGGAACUGCAUUCGAAACUGGCAGGCUAGAGUCUUGUAGAGGGGGGUAGAAUUCCAGGUGUAGCGGUGAAAUGCGUAGAGAUCUGGAGGAAUACCGGUGGCGAAGGCGGCCCCCUGGACAAAGACUGACGCUCAGGUGCGAAAGCGUGGGGAGCAAACAGG